Molecule: ribosomal RNA, 253 nt
Filed under: uncultured bacterium
Lineage: Bacteria
Description: partial 16S ribosomal RNA
Rfam family: Bacterial small subunit ribosomal RNA
Source: RNAcentral
UACGAAGGGGGCUAGCGUUGCUCGGAUUGACUGGGCGUAAAGGGCUCGUAGGUGGCCAACUAAGUCGGACGUGAAAUCCCUCGGCUUAACCGGGGAACUGCGUCCGAUACUGGUUGGCUUGAGUUUGGGAGAGGGAUGCGGAAUUCCAGGUGUAGCGGUGAAAUGCGUAGAUAUCAGGAAGAACACCAAUGGCGAAAGCAGCUCUCUGGGACGGUACUGACGCUGAGACGCGAAAGCGUGGGGAGCGAACAGG